GACGAACGCUGGCGGCGUGCUUAACACAUGCAAGUCGAACGGAAAGGCCCUGCUUUUGUGGGGUGCUCGAGUGGCGAACGGGUGUGUAACACGUGAGUAACCUGCCCUUGACUUUGGGAUAACUUCAGGAAACUGGGGCUAAUACCGGGUAGGAGCUCCUGCUGCAUGGUGGGGGUUGGAAAGUUUCGGCGGUUGGGGAUGGACUCGCGGCUUAUCAGCUUGUUGGUGGGGUAGUGGCUUACCAAGGCUUUGACGGGUAGCCGGCCUGAGAGGGUGACCGGCCACAUUGGGACUGAGAUACGGCCCAGACUCCUACGGGAGGCAGCAGUGGGGAAUAUUGCACAAUGGGCGGAAGCCUGAUGCAGCAACGCCGCGUGCGGGAUGACGGCCUUCGGGUUGUAAACCGCUUUCGCCUGUGACGAAGCGUGAGUGACGGUAAUGGGUAAAGAAGCACCGGCUAACUACGUG
Molecule: ribosomal RNA, 468 nt
Filed under: uncultured bacterium
Lineage: Bacteria
Description: partial 16S ribosomal RNA
Rfam family: Bacterial small subunit ribosomal RNA
Source: RNAcentral